GUCAGCCGAAGUCCGCUGGAAAGCGGCACCGCAGCGGGUGACAGUCCCGUAGGCGACGAUGCGACUCCCCCUAUCCGGUACCCGAGUAGGGUCGGGCACGUGAAACCCGGCCUGAAUCGGCGGGGACCAUCCCGCAAGGCUAAGUACUCGAUGACGACCGAUAGCGAACCCAGUAGGGCGACCGAACGGUGGGAAGAACCCCGAUGAGGGGAGGAGACUGAACCUGAAACCCCGUGCCUACGAGCGGUGGGAGGGCGUCUGGCCUCGGCCGGCCUGACCGCGUGCCUUUUGCAUAAUGAUCCGGCGAGUUACUGUAUCCGGCUUAGGUUAAUCCCUUCAGGGGAGGAGCCGCAGCGAAAGCGAGUCCUAACCGGCGACGAUGUCGGAUGCAGUAGACGCGAAACCAGGUGAACUACCCAUGGGCAGGUUGAAGCGGGGGUAAGACCCCGUGGAGGACCGAACCGACCUAGGUUGAAAACUGGGCGGAUGACCUGUGGGUCGGAGUGAAAGGCUAAUCAAGCUCAGAGAUAUCU
This 533-nucleotide ribosomal RNA is filed under the name Chloropicon mariensis. RNAcentral describes it as "partial Bacterial large subunit ribosomal RNA". It matches the Rfam family "Bacterial large subunit ribosomal RNA", at positions 328 to 850 of the family's 2925-position model. The record is from RNAcentral. Lineage: Eukaryota; Viridiplantae; Chlorophyta; Chloropicophyceae; Chloropicales; Chloropicaceae.